CAGUCGCCGCGGUAAUACAUAGGGUGCAAGCGUUGUCCGGAAUUAUUGGGCGUAAAGAGCUCGUAGGCGGUUUGUCGCGUCUGCUGUGAAAUCUGGGGGCUCAACCCCCAGCCUGCAGUGGGUACGGGCAGACUAGAGUGCGGUAGGGGAGAUUGGAAUUCCUGGUGUAGCGGUGGAAUGCGCAGAUAUCAGGAGGAACACCGAUGGCGAAGGCAGAUCUCUGGGCCGUAACUGACGCUGAGGAGCGAAAGCAUGGGGAGCGAACAGGAUUAGAUACCCCCGUAGUCCCUGUCCCUUAUAC
This 301-nucleotide ribosomal RNA is filed under the name uncultured bacterium. RNAcentral describes it as "partial 16S ribosomal RNA". It matches the Rfam family "Bacterial small subunit ribosomal RNA", at positions 509 to 807 of the family's 1533-position model. The record is from RNAcentral.